RNAcentral lists this ribosomal RNA (440 nucleotides) under uncultured bacterium. Its description in RNAcentral is "partial 16S ribosomal RNA". It matches the Rfam family "Bacterial small subunit ribosomal RNA", at positions 338 to 795 of the family's 1533-position model. The record is from RNAcentral.
CCUACGGGUGGCAGCAGUAGGGAAUAUUGCUCAAUGGGGGAAACCCUGAAGCAGCAACGCCGCGUGGAGGAUGAAGGUUUUCGGAUUGUAAACUCCUUUUGUAAGAGAAGAUAAUGACGGUAUCUAACGAAUAAGCACCGGCUAAACCCGUGCCAGCAGCCGCGGUAAUACGAAGGGUGCAAGCGUUACUCGGAAUCACUGGGCGUAAAGAGCGCGUAGGCGGGAUAGUAAGUCAGAUGUGAAAUCCUAUGGCUUAACCAUAGAACUACAUUUGAUACUGUUAUUCUAGAGUAUGGGAGAGGUAGGUGGAAUUCUUGGUGUAGGGGUAAAAUGCGUAGAGAUCAAGAGGAAUACUCAUGGCGAAGGCGACCUGCUAGAACAUAACUGACGCUGAUGCGCGAAAGCGUGGGGAGCAAACAGGAUUAGAUACCCCGGUAGUC